UGCUAUAAUGCAAGUCGAGCGAGCUGAAUUCAAAGAUCCCUUCGGGGUGAUUUGUUGGACGCUAGCGGCGGAUGGGUGAGUAACACGUGGGCAAUCUGCCCUAAAGACUGGGAUACCACUUGGAAACAGGUGCUAAUACCGGAUAACAACAUGAAUCGCAUGAUUCAAGUUUGAAAGGCGGCGCAAGCUGUCACUUUAGGAUGAGCCCGCGGCGCAUUAGCUAGUUGGUGGGGUAAAGGCCUACCAAGGCAAUGAUGCGUAGCCGAGUUGAGAGACUGAUCGGCCACAUUGGGACUGAGACACGGCCCAAACUCCUACGGGAGGCAGCAGUAGGGAAUCUUCCACAAUGGACGCAAGUCUGAUGGAGCAACGCCGCGUGAGUGAAGAAGGUCUUCGGAUCGUAAAGCUCUGUUGUUGGUGAAGAAGGAUAGAGGCAGUAACUGGUCUUUAUUUGACGGUAAUCAACCAGAAAGUCACGGCUAACUACGUGCCAGCAGCCGCGGUAAUACGUAGGUGGCAAGCGUUGUCCGGAUUUAUUGGGCGUAAAGCGAGCGCAGGCGGAAUGAUAAGUCUGAUGUGAAAGCCCACGGCUCAACCGUGGAACUGCAUCGGAAACUGUCAUUCUUGAGUGCAGAAGAGGAGAGUGGAACUCCAUGUGUAGCGGUGGAAUGCGUAGAUAUAUGGAAGAACACCAGUGGCGAAGGCGGCUCUCUGGUCUGCAACUGACGCUGAGGCUCGAAAGCAUGGGUAGCGAACAGGAUUAGAUACCCUGGUAGUCCAUGCCGUAAACGAUGAGCGCUAGGUGUUGGGGACUUUCCGGUCCUCAGUGCCGCAGCAAACGCAUUAAGCGCUCCGCCUGGGGAGUACGACCGCAAGGUUGAAACUCAAAGGAAUUGACGGGGGCCCGCACAAGCGGUGGAGCAUGUGGUUUAAUUCGAAGCAACGCGAAGAACCUUACCAGGUCUUGACAUCCUGCGCUACACCUAGAGAUAGGUGGUUCCCUUCGGGGACGCAGAGACAGGUGGUGCAUGGCUGUCGUCAGCUCGUGUCGUGAGAUGUUGGGUUAAGUCCCGCAACGAGCGCAACCCUUGUCUUUAGUUGCCAUCAUUAAGUUGGGCACUCUAAGAAG
This 1129-nucleotide ribosomal RNA is filed under the name Lactobacillus delbrueckii. RNAcentral's name for it is "bacterial SSU rRNA". It matches the Rfam family "Bacterial small subunit ribosomal RNA", at positions 45 to 1147 of the family's 1533-position model. Lineage: Bacteria; Bacillati; Bacillota; Bacilli; Lactobacillales; Lactobacillaceae. The record is from RNAcentral.